UCAGUCGCGUUAUACAGUCUGUCGCGACGAGAAAUGGCGGAGACACGAGAGAAGGUGGCGGGUCUUUCUACAUUUACUUCUGUCCUACGGAAUCAUUACUACGUCUCGAGUUAAGCGAAGCGAGAACGCCCGUUGACGGCAGCCGUUGAUGCGUUAAAGAUCGUCAAGGCGGCCCAUUCAUAACUCGUGCAUCGUAAUUGACGAGCCAUGUGAAAGGAGGAUCGUCGACGAGCAAAUCUUAUCGCUUGGAAGAUGUAAGCAGGGAGAGACACCCUUGCAGACUCCGUCCUGUGUAUCGUUCAAUGGAGAAGUCACGAGAUAAUUGUACAUGCAUACCUACGCGUUUUGAUAUUAACGUUCCGUACGAAAGAGG
Molecule: long non-coding RNA, 373 nt
Organism: Vespa velutina
Lineage: Eukaryota; Metazoa; Arthropoda; Insecta; Hymenoptera; Vespidae
Exons: 3
Source: RefSeq, a predicted model, not a curated record